ACUUAUGGCCAUACCACCCUGAGCGCGCCCGAUCUCGUCUGAUCUCGGAAGCUAAGCAGGGUCGGGCCUGGUUAGUACUUGGAUGGGAGAUUGCCUGGGAUUACCAGGUGCUUUAAGCU
Molecule: ribosomal RNA, 119 nt
Organism: Cyprinus carpio carpio
Lineage: Eukaryota; Metazoa; Chordata; Actinopteri; Cypriniformes; Cyprinidae
Source: Ensembl